Malania oleifera is the source of this 917-nucleotide long non-coding RNA. RefSeq lists it as uncharacterized. The transcript has 3 exons. The record is from RefSeq and is a predicted model, not a curated record. Lineage: Eukaryota; Viridiplantae; Streptophyta; Magnoliopsida; Santalales; Ximeniaceae.
UCGAGAUAAAAUAAAAUAAAAUAAAUCAGCUACUGAUAUACGUACGACAAAGAACAAACCCUACAAAUCUUUAGUAGCAAAUUUCAGAAAUUUUUAACUGGUGAAAAUCGAGUAGAUGCCGAAUUUGCUCCAGCAACCGGAAUCGCUGACGGAGCUUGAUUCGGGAGUUCCAGUUGCCAAACUGUUGCAGGUUUGAUCUAGGGUUCUCUUCAGUGCCAGAAAAAAUGCCAAAAAAUGCAAAUGCAGCACGCCUUGCAAUAUCCCAUGCUGUCCAUUCCUUUAUAAGUCUAUAUAUUUGCACGUUAAUGGCACCUGGAGGAUGAGCCUACACCCAAAAACAUUAGAAAAUUCCUGAAAGCUUUUCAUCAGAUGGGUUUACUUAUUGCCCGUAAUUGCUGGAAAUUGGAAAUCAUUGGAUUGAAGAAGGCAGUCUUGGCGUACACAAUAAGUGUGUAUAAACUCAUUUGGAGGAGGAGGUUGAGAGUUCUAUAAAGCCGUACAUCAAGAAUUAGAAAGUUAUUUUCAUUCUGAAGGCGCAAGGCUUCCUUUACUUCGACACUCCUAACCUGCAAAAAAGUUUCAAGAAAAUUUGUACAGUGGUUUAAGUUGCAUCAACAAAUCUUCAAAUAUAGGUCUAUUGCGACUCACUUCCCAGUUCAGGGCUAAUAGAUGGCCUGGAUUCUUGCUUUUAUCGUCUGGAUGCUGUGCAUGGUUUUCUCUUUUGCUAUUAAGAGUGCAGCAUAUGUGAUUCUUAUUUAUCUCUUCUUUCAAGACCGUGAUUCUCAAGGCUUUUAUAUGUAUUAAUUCAGUGAAUGUAUUUCUGCUGAAGUACUUGAAUCAAACUAAAAAGUCCCAAAAUAUUUAGUAAUUACCAAAAUUGUAGCUCCAACUAUUUUUAGUUAUCUUUUAACACUUCA